UACAGAGGUCCCAAGCGUUGUUCGGAUUCACUGGGCGUAAAGGGCGCGUAGGCGGCGUGGAAAGUCUGGUGUGAAAUUCCGGGGCUCAACCUCGGAACUGCACUGGAUACUACCUCGCUAGAGGACUGGAGAGGGAACCGGAAUUCACGGUGUAGCAGUGAAAUGCGUAGAUAUCGUGAGGAAGACCCGAGGCGAAGGCGGGUUCCUGGACAGUUCCUGACGCUGAGGCGCGAAGGCGAGGGGAGCAAACAGG
Molecule: ribosomal RNA, 253 nt
Filed under: uncultured bacterium
Lineage: Bacteria
Description: partial 16S ribosomal RNA
Rfam family: Bacterial small subunit ribosomal RNA
Source: RNAcentral